This 1470-nucleotide ribosomal RNA is filed under the name uncultured Thermodesulfobacteriaceae bacterium. Its description in RNAcentral is "partial 16S ribosomal RNA". It matches the Rfam family "Bacterial small subunit ribosomal RNA". Lineage: Bacteria; Pseudomonadati; Thermodesulfobacteriota; Thermodesulfobacteria; Thermodesulfobacteriales; Thermodesulfobacteriaceae. The record is from RNAcentral.
AUGAACGCUGGCGGCAGGCUUAACACAUGCAAGUCGAACGGUAACAGAAAAUAGCCUGCUAUUUUGCUGACGAGUGGCUGGACGGGUGAGUAAUGCUUGGGAACAUGCCUUUAGGUGGGGGACAACAGUUGGAAACGACUGCUAAUACCGCAUAAUAUCUUCGGAUCAAAGUGGGGGACCUUCGGGCCUCACGCCUAGAGAGUGGCCCAAGUGGGAUUAGCUAGUUGGUAAGGUAAUGGCUUACCAAGGCGACGAUCCCUAGCUGGUCUUAGAGGAUGACCAGCCACACUGGAACUGAGACACGGGCCAGACUCCUACGGGAGGCAGCAGUGGGGAAUCUUGGGCAAUGGCCGAGAGGCUGACCCAGCGACGCCGCGUGGGGGAAGAAGGCCUUCGGGUCGUAAACCCCUGUCAGGGAGGAAGAAGGCUUACGGGUUAAUAGCCCGUGGAGUUUGACGGUACUCCCAGAGGAAGCCACGGCUAACUCCGUGCCAGCAGCCGCGGUAAUACGGAGGUGGCGAGCGUUGCCCGGAAUCACUGGGCGUAAAGGGGGCGUAGGCGGCCGGACAAGUCGGACGUGAAAGCCCGGGGGCUCAACCCCGGAGUUGCGUUCGAAACUGUUUGGCUUGAGGUCCGGAGAGGCCGGCGGAAUUCCCGGUGUAGGGGUGAAAUCCGUAGAUAUCGGGAGGAACACCGGUGGCGAAGGCGGCCGGCUGGACGGCACCUGACGCUGAGGCCCGAAAGCGUGGGGAGCAAACCGGAUUAGAUACCCGGGUAGUCCACGCCGUAAACGAUGGGUGCUAGGUGUGGGGGGUUAAACCUUCCGUGCCGAAGCUAACGCAAUAAGCACCCCGCCUGGGGAGUACGGCCGCAAGGCUGAAACUCAAAGGAAUUGACGGGGGCCCGCACAAGCGGUGGAGCACGUGGUUUAAUUCGAUGCAAAGCGAAGAACCUUACCUGGGUUUGACAUGCUAGGGGACCUUCCGGAGAUGGGAGGGUGCCCGGGCUUAGCCUGGGAGCCCUAGCACAGGUGCUGCAUGGCUGUCGUCAGCUCGUGUCGUGAGAUGUUGGGUUAAGUCCCGCAACGAGCGCAACCCUCGCCCUUAGUUGCCAGCGGGUGAAGCCGGGCACUCUAGGGGGACUGCCGGGGACAACCCGGAGGAAGGAGGGGAUGACGUCAAGUCAUCAUGGCCCUUAUGCCCAGGGCUACACACGUGCUACAAUGGGCGGUACAGAGGGAAGCGAACCCGCGAGGGGGAGCAGAUCCCAGAAAGCCAGUCCUCAGUUCGGAUCGGGGUCUGCAACUCGACCCCGUGAAGCCGGAAUCGCUAGUAACGGCGGAUCAGCAUGCCGCCGUGAAUACGUUCCCGGGCCUUGUACACACCGCCCGUCACACCACGGAAGCUGGCUCUGCCCGAAGUCGCUAUCCCAACCCCUUGAGGGGAGGGAGGCGCCUACGGGCAGGGCUGG